UGAGCGUUCGGAGUAUAUCCUUACUCCUUCAUCAGGUGAGCGUUCGGAGUAUAUCCUUACUCCUUCAUCAGGUGAACAUUUCACCUGCUGAAGGAUAUAUUCCAAAUGUUGUGUUCCUCAUAAUAAAGAAGUUUGACAUCCAUAAAACUCUCUUCCCUAACUGUGUAUGGUUUUAAUAAGCAGCUUGUUUACAUAUUACAUUGUUGCUUAUUUAAUUUAAUACAAACUUACUUUGGACUGGUACUUACCAUACUAUGGGUUAAUGGAACCAGGUAGCAAUACUUUUCUAUUUUGUAUGUAUGUGGCUUAUAUUGUUUAUAAUCAUAACAUACAAUAAACCUCUCAACCUUAAUCACACGCUAAUUUAAUGAGUACCUUAAACACGUAUAAUACACAGAUGUUUCUAACCACAGAUUGAUGCCAAAUAUGAACAUAUUAACAUGUAAAUAUUUUGAUGGAGUUAGCCAGAAAUUAUGUAAGUUAUUCUUGAAAUAACAGAUCUAUUUACUAUUUUAAACAUUACUGAGAAAACCACUUCAGGUCCUCUCAGCCUGAGGUGUUACCUAAAUAAAUAUAUCAUGAAAUGGUAUUUCAUCAGAUCCUGCAGCUUCAAGUUUGAACAUUAUGAUUUUUAGAAACUCUUGUUUUUUUAAAGCAACACAGUACUUAUUUGGGUAUCUUCCCAUUAUGACUACUCCCAUUUUGUCUACUCUUGAACAUAUACAUGUAAUGGAGCUCCCCUACACUUAUGUACUGUACCUGUAUAGCUGUCUACUCCCAGUAUGUCUACUCUCUGAAACAAACCUAUUAGUUCCACUCCCAGGGACAACCCAUAUUUGAAUCAUCAGAAGCUAUGUGAAUCAGGGAUCUUGUGAUCAUUCAUUGUUUGUUAUAAUUUAUUUGUUAAAGGUCACAUGCAACGCAAAAUACAACUUUGCAGAUUCUGAUACCUUUCAGUAUGGACUUACAGUAACAAAUUAUCAAUAAUGCAAAUUCAACUUAUAAAAAUAAUGCGAUGAAAAACCCCAUGCGAAAUCAGAGUUCAAACGAUUCAAUAAUUUCACCCCAGUGCUGGGUUGAAAGUGGUUUCAACAGCUGUGCUGCGCUGCACCAAUAGCGCAUGCGCAGUGAUUAGGUUCGCGCGGCUUGAACCAGGAAGGCGACUCGUAAAAACACAGCAAGUAAUGCGUGUAAAGAUAAUCGCUGUGGGCGAAGUUGGAGAACAAGAGAUGUUUCUUGUGAUUACAAGCAUCUUGGGUCUGCAGUAAUAAAAAUACACUGGUC
Molecule: long non-coding RNA, 1284 nt
Organism: Haliotis rubra (blacklip abalone)
Lineage: Eukaryota; Metazoa; Mollusca; Gastropoda; Lepetellida; Haliotidae
Exons: 2
Source: RefSeq, a predicted model, not a curated record